Molecule: ribosomal RNA, 253 nt
Filed under: uncultured bacterium
Lineage: Bacteria
Description: partial 16S ribosomal RNA
Rfam family: Bacterial small subunit ribosomal RNA
Source: RNAcentral
UACGUAGGGGGCAAGCGUUGUCCGGAAUUACUGGGCGUAAAGCGCGUGUAGGCGGCAAUGCAAGUCGGGCGUGAAAUCCCCAGGCUCAACCUGGGAACUGCGUCCGAUACUGGCAGGCUUGAAUCCGGGAGAGGGAUGUGGAAUUCCAGGUGUAGCGGUGAAAUGCGUAGAUAUCUGGAGGAACACCGGUGGCGAAGGCGGCAUCCUGGACCGGUAUUGACGCUGAGGCGCGAAAGCUAGGGGAGCAAACGGG